GAUCCUGACUCAGGAUGAACGCUAGCUACAGGCUUAACACAUGCAAGUCGAGGGGCAGCAUGACCUAGCAAUAGGUUGAUGGCGACCGGCGCACGGGUGAGUAACACGUAUCCAACCUACCGGUUAUUCCGGGAUAGCCUUUCGAAAGAAAGAUUAAUACCGGAUAGUAUAACGAGAAGGCAUCUUUUUGUUAUUAAAGAAUUUCGAUAACCGAUGGGGAUGCGUUCCAUUAGUUUGUUGGCGGGGUAACGGCCCACAAG
This 260-nucleotide ribosomal RNA is filed under the name uncultured bacterium. Its description in RNAcentral is "partial 16S ribosomal RNA". It matches the Rfam family "Bacterial small subunit ribosomal RNA", at positions 15 to 272 of the family's 1533-position model. The record is from RNAcentral.